UAUCCUCAUCUUCUUCAGCUGACAGAAAAGAAAAUAAUAUCAAUGAAGUAGUGCCAACCCAAGAUCAACAUUCCCCCAUUCCAAGGUUCACUCAGCUUGCCACUACCAUUUGCUGUUGUUGUUUUGAAAACUGAACCAGUCAUCAUCAAACCAAAACCUUUCCAGAUUAUCAAUGCCUUACAAGAUGCUUCUUGGACAGGGAUGGUUCUCACCUCGAGGAAAUAUGCCUGGAUCCAUGAAGGUGGCCAUACUGAAGUUGGCCAGUACAAAGAGAAAAACCACAGCAUUGUAAAUGGGUAUGAAUGGAGAGAUAUAGAAGCUGAGCCCAGGGCACCUGCACAAACAAAGAAAAGGUGUAAAGGGAGAGUGAGAGAGAGCUGUCAUCCUUACAAUAGAGCAAUCUGCCAGCAUAUCUGGAUGCUGAUUAACAAUGGCUGUUAGCCAUUAUGGUGGAUUUUUAACAAGAACAGUAUGUUGUUGGCUUAUUAAUUUGUUAGUAAAUCCCCCAAACAUGAUGGAAUGGAGUGUGUGCAUUUAU
Sceloporus undulatus (fence lizard) is the source of this 538-nucleotide long non-coding RNA. RefSeq lists it as uncharacterized. NCBI's taxonomy places the organism in Eukaryota, Metazoa, Chordata, Lepidosauria, Squamata, Phrynosomatidae. The transcript is spliced from 3 exons. The record is from RefSeq and is a predicted model, not a curated record.